CCUACGGGAGGCAGCAGUGGGGAAUAUUGCACAAUGGGCGAAAGCCUGAUGCAGCAACGCCGCGUGAAGGAAGACGGUUUUCGGAUUGUAAACUUCUGUUCUUAGUGAAGAAUAAUGACGGUUACUAAGGAGCAAGCCACGGCCAACUACGUGCCAGCAGCCGCGGUAAUACGGAGGUGGCAAGCGUUGGCCGGAAUUACUGGGUGUAAAGGGAGCGUAGGCGGGAAGGCAAGUCAGCUGUGAAAACUACGGGCGUAACCUGUAGACUGCAGUUGAAACUGGCUUUCUUGAGUGAAGUAGAGGUGAGCGGAAUUCCGAGUGUAGCGGUGAAAUGCGUAGAUAUUCGGAGGAACACCGGUGGCGAAGGCGGCCAACUGGACUUUAACUGACGCUGAGGCUCGAAAGUGUGGGGAGCAAACAGGAUUAGAUACCCCUGUAGUC
Molecule: ribosomal RNA, 441 nt
Filed under: uncultured bacterium
Lineage: Bacteria
Description: partial 16S ribosomal RNA
Rfam family: Bacterial small subunit ribosomal RNA
Source: RNAcentral